Hylaeus volcanicus is the source of this 1155-nucleotide long non-coding RNA. RefSeq lists it as uncharacterized. The transcript has 3 exons. The record is from RefSeq and is a predicted model, not a curated record. NCBI's taxonomy places the organism in Eukaryota, Metazoa, Arthropoda, Insecta, Hymenoptera, Colletidae.
AAGUUUUCUAGGAAAAGAUGUGUCUGAAAUAACGGUCAAAAUUCCUUCGAAACGCUCAUGUUACAAUAAAGCUAUCCUUUGUGUAGCUAUAGUUCUUUAUGAUUAGGAAAUGAAUGAGUUUGAAGAAAGCUUUUCAAAAAUCUUGUUUAAUUUAACAUAAAUAACUAGUGAUUUUUUAAAACAAUCAAUCAAAUUUUUGUUCUAAUGUAUACAUUUUGGAAACAUCUUAAUAAACCUUUUGCAUUGAAAUGCUGUAAAGUUGCGUCAGUUAAACCAAUUUCAGUCACUGGUUCUACUUGAGUAUUUAAACAUGGAUAAGGCUGUAGUAUAUAAAUUAUAAUGAAAGGAGCGUGAGCAAUUCAUUAAUUGAAUUACAUAUUAUAUUACUAAAUUUUUAAUUUAUCGGUACCUAUUGAGACAACAUCAAUCUUUUUAUUAUUAAAACACAAACACAUACAGACACACAUACAUAAAACGAAGCAAAGCAAAUUAAAGCAUAAUUUAAUGGGGAUUUAAGAAACUUUUCAAACCAUUCGUAUUUUUGGAGCUUCAAAAUAACUCAAACUCCUACCUGAGAAAGAACGUUUAGAUUAAGAUAGACGGUGUAAAUCAAAGAAAUUAAUAGAAAUGAAGAACUAAAGAAAAUCUUUUUUAUUCGAACGACGUUAAUAGUUCGUGAUUCCUCACAACUAAGCGAUCAAAAGCCAUUUCCGAUAUUGUGCAAAAGAAACAUUACAAGUUAUUUAAGGACCUUGACUUUAAUUCAAAAUACGAGGCAAAAUUUGUGUCAAUAAUGAUAGCGAAAGAAACAAAAUAAAUUUUUAGGAUUGUUACAUUAAUAAAAAAGUUUUAUUAAAUUUUUCAACAAACACUUUUCUUUUAAUGUCGGAGAUGGUGAAGUAGAACAACGGAUUUGUUAGUAUUUGUGAUUACUUUUUUAUUAGAACGUUAAACUGAAAUGAAACACAACAAGGUAUUAAGGAAGAGUAAUGCUAUCAAAGAUACAUUAUGUUAGACAAAACUUGAGUCUACUUUUAUAUAAAAAUAAAAUCAUCGUCUACACAUGAGAAGAUAACAAUUCUGUAGAGCCAUCACUUUGAUUUCAUCAAUUUUCACUUUUCAUAUUAAUAAAUUAGACCAGUAGGUAUUACACGU